RNAcentral lists this ribosomal RNA (451 nucleotides) under Klebsiella pneumoniae. Its description in RNAcentral is "bacterial SSU rRNA". It matches the Rfam family "Bacterial small subunit ribosomal RNA", at positions 332 to 796 of the family's 1533-position model. Lineage: Bacteria; Pseudomonadati; Pseudomonadota; Gammaproteobacteria; Enterobacterales; Enterobacteriaceae. The record is from RNAcentral.
CAGACUGUCCUACGGGCGGCUGCAGUGGGGAAUAUUGGGCAAUGGGCGCAAGCCUGACCCAGCAACGCCGCGUGAAGGAAGAAGGCUUUCGGGUUGUAAACUUCUUUUGACAGGGAAGAGUAGAAGACGGUACCUGUCGAAUAAGCCACGGCUAACUACGUGCCAGCAGCCGCGGUAAUACGUAGGUGGCAAGCGUUGUCCGGAUUUACUGGGUGUAAAGGGCGUGCAGCCGGAGAGACAAGUCAGAUGUGAAAUCCACGGGCUCAACCCGUGAACUGCAUUUGAAACUGUUUCCCUUGAGUGUCGGAGAGGUAAUCGGAAUUCCUUGUGUAGCGGUGAAAUGCGUAGAUAUAAGGAAGAACACCAGUGGCGAAGGCGGAUUACUGGACGAUAACUGACGGUGAGGCGCGAAAGCGUGGGGAGCAAACAGGAUUAGAUACCCUAGUAGUCC